RNAcentral lists this ribosomal RNA (450 nucleotides) under uncultured bacterium. Its description in RNAcentral is "bacterial SSU rRNA". It matches the Rfam family "Bacterial small subunit ribosomal RNA", at positions 62 to 560 of the family's 1533-position model. The record is from RNAcentral.
UCGAGCGCACCUUCGGGUGAGCGGCGGACGGGUGAGUAACGCGUGGGAAUAUGCCCGGUACUACGGAAUAGCCUCGGGAAACUGAGAGUAAUACCGUAUACGCCCUUCGGGGGAAAGAUUUAUCGGUAUCGGAUUAGCCCGCGUUGGAUUAGGUAGUUGGUGGGGUAAUGGCCCACCAAGCCGACGAUCCAUAGCUGGUUUGAGAGGAUGAUCAGCCACACUGGGACUGAGACACGGCCCAGACUCCUACGGGAGGCAGCAGUGGGGAAUCUUGGACAAUGGGGGCAACCCUGAUCCAGCCAUGCCGCGUGAGUGACGAAGGCCCUAGGGUCGUAAAGCUCUUUCAGCUGUGAAGAUAAUGACGGUAGCAGCAGAAGAAACCCCGGCUAACUCCGUGCCAGCAGCCGCGGUAAUACGGAGGGGGUUAGCGUNGUUCGGAAUUACUGGGCG